UACGUAGGGUGCGAGCGUUAAUCGGAAUUACUGGGCGUAAAGCGUGCGCAGGCGGUUUUGUAAGGCAGAUGUGAAAUCCCCGGGCUUAACCUGGGAAUGGCAUUUGGGACUGCAAGGCUCGAGUGCGGCAGAGGAGACUGGAAUUCCUGGUGUAGCAGUGAAAUGCGUAGAUAUCAGGAGGAACACCGAUGGCGAAGGCAGCCCCCUGGGUCAAGAUUGACGCUCAUGCACGAAAGCGUGGGGAGCAAACAGG
RNAcentral lists this ribosomal RNA (253 nucleotides) under uncultured bacterium. RNAcentral describes it as "partial 16S ribosomal RNA". It matches the Rfam family "Bacterial small subunit ribosomal RNA", at positions 524 to 776 of the family's 1533-position model. The record is from RNAcentral.